UCCUUCACUCUCGGAGCUGGACAGACUGUCACUGUGAGUCUCUCUUCAUUUCUCUGUGUGUGUUAGUUGUUGACUACAUGAAGCUGCAGCUGAAACUCUGCAGACUGACUCUGCUUCAAACAUCACUGACUUCACCUGAAAUAAAACCUUUAGUGCUGUGAUGACCCAGUGAUAGUCUACUGCAGAACCAAAUGCCAUGUUUGCUUCUUUAUGUUUGACUCAUGAUUGAUUCACAGUUUAACCUCCAAAUGUUCACUUGUCUGGUAAAUCAGUGAUGUGUGUUCUUUUCAGAUCUGGGCUUCAGAUAGUGGUGUCAAAGACUCUUACCCCACUGACCUGGUGUGGAGUGGUCAGAAAUCUUUAGGCCAUGGAAACCAAACAGUGGUCACUGUCUUCAGCAGCUCUGGACAGGAAGUGACCACGAAGACAUUUACAGCCAAACAUGGACUAUGCGCUGUGAGCUAACAGCCAUGAAGACUCCAAUAAAACACAACCAGAACAGAACAACCGUUAUUCUAGACUCUUAGUGUUUUUAAGAGUCCACAUGCUCAUGUACAUGUUUUACAAUAUUUGCUUUGAAAAACAUUUAAGAUAAAACUGUAUAAAGUCAUAUUUGUACUUUGUACUGAUAAAUCAACAACUGAGCUUCUUUUAUUUUCCAUGUUUUGUGCAUCAAGCCAGUGUUGUGACCUGUGUGAAGGCUGUGAUCAUACAUCAGCAGGAAAGUUUCAACCUGGAUGUUUUUAUUCAUGUAAGAGUGAAAUAAAUCUGUCCAUCUCCA
Molecule: long non-coding RNA, 781 nt
Organism: Lates calcarifer (barramundi perch)
Lineage: Eukaryota; Metazoa; Chordata; Actinopteri; Centropomidae
Exons: 2
Source: RefSeq, a predicted model, not a curated record